RNAcentral lists this ribosomal RNA (258 nucleotides) under uncultured bacterium. RNAcentral describes it as "partial 16S ribosomal RNA". The record is from RNAcentral.
CUGCUGCCUCCCGUAGGAGUUUGGGCCGUGUCUCAGUCCCAAUGUGGCCGUUCACCCUCUCAGGCCGGCUACUGAUCGUUGCCUUGGUAGGCCAUUACCCCACCAACUAGCUAAUCAGACGCGGAACCAUCGUAUACCACCGGAGUUUUUCACACCGCUUCAUGCGAAGCUGUGCGCUUAUGCGGUAUUAGCACCUAUUUCUAAGUGUUAUCCCCCAGUAUACGGCAGGUUUUCCACGCGUUACUCACCCGUCCGCCA